Molecule: long non-coding RNA, 411 nt
Organism: Gordionus sp. m RMFG-2023
Lineage: Eukaryota; Metazoa; Nematomorpha; Gordioida; Chordodea; Parachordodidae
Exons: 2
Source: RefSeq, a predicted model, not a curated record
UCUAUGAUUUGAAAAACUAUUUAUUUUUUUAACAUAUUUUUAUCGAAUUUUUUACUAUAUAGUAUAAACUCCUCCGUCUUUUUUCUCCAUUUUAGCCAAAAAUUCUUUAGGCAGUUUACCAGGAUUACUAAUUCGCCUUUUGGUGAUUUCUUGAAUAAUCGUUUUUUUCUCACCGGGUUUAUCUCCAUCUAUAAUCAAUUCUUGUCUCACAGUUUCUCCUUCUUUUUCGGCGAUAAAACAUUUUCAAAGUUGCUAUCAGGGAAGAAUCUGCUCCUCAGUAAGAACAUUUUUUAGUGACACUGAAUAAAAGAGUUCAACUAGUUGGCCGCGUCAAUGUUCGAGUGAUUUUUGAAACAUAUUUAGACUUAGCCUAGACUAUUCAACCAUUUAACUAUGACACCUUCUUCUGGU